GUAAUAUGAAUUUAAUAUCUUGUUCAAAAAUUCUAACAAAAUUAAACAGGAAAAUUAAUACAAAAAAUCAAUAUUUUUUGUGGGGUAUAUUUUUCAAAAAUAAAAGAAAUUAUGAUCAAAUAUAUAGUGAUUUUUUUUUUUUUUAUCAUCUCUUAUUAAAUUGUUUAUAUGUUUUGAAAAGUUUAGAAUCUAUUUCUGUGAUCCAAAAAGUUGAGACCCAAAACCAGGUCUCCACUUUGUAGUCGAUCCCCAUUAAAAAGAUGUUUAUUCAUACUUUGAUCCCAAAAAUGCACUUUGCCCCCCCCACACACACAUUUUAUAUAUAUACAUACACAUACACAUAUAUAUACACACACAAUAAAACUGUUGGUCAUCACAUUCUCUUCUAUCUUCAUUCUUCCAGGCCAAACUAAUGAGUAAUGCCAUCUCUAUUUCCCACAAUAUAGUAGAAUUUGGAUUUUUCAUCACUUCAUUUGAUUUAUUAGUUUAU
This 490-nucleotide long non-coding RNA is filed under the name Androctonus crassicauda. The record is from RNAcentral. Lineage: Eukaryota; Metazoa; Arthropoda; Arachnida; Scorpiones; Buthidae.